RNAcentral lists this transfer RNA (67 nucleotides) under Paenibacillus pabuli. RNAcentral's name for it is "tRNA-Tyr". It matches the Rfam family "tRNA". Rfam says of the family: Transfer RNA (tRNA) molecules are approximately 80 nucleotides in length. Their secondary structure includes four short double-helical elements and three loops (D, anti-codon, and T loops). Lineage: Bacteria; Bacillati; Bacillota; Bacilli; Caryophanales; Paenibacillaceae. The record is from RNAcentral.
GCUCCCUUAACUCAAUGGUAGAGUCCGGUAUAUCCGGCAUGUGGCGGUUCGAUUCCGUUAGGGAGCU